GUGCCAGCAGCCGCGGUAAUACGUAGGUGGCAAGCGUUAUCCGGAAUUAUUGGGCGUAAAGCGCGCGUAGGCGGUUUUUUAAGUCUGAUGUGAAAGCCCACGGCUCAACCGUGGAGGGUCAUUGGAAACUGGAAAACUUGAGUGCAGAAGAGGAAAGUGGAAUUCCAUGUGUAGCGGUGAAAUGCGCAGAGAUAUGGAGGAACACCAGUGGCGAAGGCGACUUUCUGGUCUGUAACUGACGCUGAUGUGCGAAAGCGUGGGGAUCAAGCAGGAUUAGAUA
This 280-nucleotide ribosomal RNA is filed under the name uncultured Staphylococcus sp. RNAcentral's name for it is "partial 16S ribosomal RNA". It matches the Rfam family "Bacterial small subunit ribosomal RNA", at positions 505 to 784 of the family's 1533-position model. The record is from RNAcentral. Lineage: Bacteria; Bacillati; Bacillota; Bacilli; Caryophanales; Staphylococcaceae.